CUGACUGCUAUCGGAUGAUACUGAGCCAUGCGAGUCAUUGUAGCAAUACAAGGCGGACGGCUCAGUAACACGUAGUCAACCUAACCUAUGGACGUGGAUAACCUCGGGAAACUGAGAAUAAAACACGAUAGAUCAUGAUGCCUGGAAUGGCUUAUGGUUCAAACAAUUUAUUGCCAUAGGAUGGGACUGCGGCCUAUCAGCUUGUUGGUGAGGUAAUGGCCCACCAAGGCUAUAACAGGCACGGGCUCUGAGAGGAGAAGCCCGGAGAUGGGUACUGAGACACGGACCCAGGCCCUAUGGGGCGCAGCAGGCGAGAAACCUUAGCAAUGUGCGAAAGCACGACUAGGUUAAUCCGAGUGAUUCCUGUUGAAGGAAUCUUUUGUCAGUCGUAAAACCACAGACGAAUAAGGGGUGGGCAAGUCUGGUGUCAGCCGCCGCGGUAAUACCAGCACCUCGAGUGGUCAGGAGGUUUAUUGGGCCUAAAGCAUCCGUAGCCGGCUUUGCAAGUCUCCGGUUAAAUCCAGCUGCUCAACAGAUGGGCUGCCGGAGAUACUACGCAGCUAGGGAGCGGGAGAGGUAGACGGUAUUCUGUGGGUAGGGGUAAAGUCCACUGAUCCAUAGAGGACCACCAGUGGCGAAGGCGGUCUACCAGAACGCGUUCGACGGUGAGGGAUGAAAGCUGGGGGAGCAAACCGGAUUAGAUACCCGGGUAGUCCCAGCUGUAAACGAUGCAAACUCGGUGAUGCAUUGGCUUAUGGCCAAUGCAGUGCCGCAGGGAAGCCGUUAAGUUUGCCGCCUGGGAAGUACGGACGCAAGUCUGAAACUUAAAGGAAUUGGCGGGGGAGCACCACAAGGGGUGAAGCCUGCGGUUCAAUUGGAGUCAACGCC
This 888-nucleotide ribosomal RNA is filed under the name uncultured archaeon. RNAcentral's name for it is "bacterial SSU rRNA". It matches the Rfam family "Archaeal small subunit ribosomal RNA", at positions 23 to 919 of the family's 1478-position model. The record is from RNAcentral.